GCAGCUGGAGGCUGCCUGUCUCCGGCAGGAGGGCGACACAGGGAGGGGAUGGCAGGGGCGGACAGGAGUCUGCAGACCUGGCUGCAAGGAGCGCAGUGGGCCCAGAGUUGGGGACCUCUGCAGGUGCUGGUGCUGUGGGUGGCAGGAAGCUGGAGAAGGGCCGGGGUUGUUCCUUACAGCUUCAGGCCGUCUCUGGCAGAGACCCAGACUUGGGACCAGCUCUGAUCCCGGUGCUAUGAGCAGCCAGCAGGUAAAUGCCCUCCUGACGGAGGCUCGCUCAGAAGGGCUCGGCACAUCCUGUCUCCAAGUAGCACAGUGGUUAAGGCCGUCAGUGCUGAGCCAGGUUCACAGGACUUCUGUUCCUGGCUCCUCUGCCGGUGAUUUCCUGACCUUAUGAAAUGUAUUCACCCGUUUUGCACCUCAAUCCUCUUAUCUGUAAAAAUGAGCAUGAGAAUAGACAUAGCUGAUAGGAUUGCCUCGAGAACCAUGGGGCCCCGUGCUAUUAAAAGGUGAGCGUUACUCACCUCAUAGUCACCAGCUGUCAUUAUUUUGAGCAUGGCAGCGAACCCUCCCUCAGAACAGGAAGCCACUGCCGCUGCAACAGGUAAUCAGGAGAUGCAGAGAGGCAAAGUGGAGAUCUCUCUGAUGAGGGACCCGGGGCCCAUUGCCGACUCCCCGAGAGCUCUGUGCACAGCCGGUGUGGACACUGCCCGCGAACACCGGCAUCUACUCACGCGCGGAGCUGGCCAAGGCCAAAGCAGGGGCACCAGGGAACCACAGCCCGAACCCAGGGCGGCCCUUCCUCCCUGUCUACUUGAUGUCUCUGCCACACUGAGGAAAAGCUGCCUGACACACGGUGACUCCCAUGGGAGCGGAGUUCUGGCUCCAUCAGCUUCUGAGCGUUACAUCGAUAAUGUCCUUGUCACCUCCCGGUCCCCGAUACCCACACCACAGGGAGGAGGAGAGGUUCAUCUCGGCUCACUUUCAGCUGGUCUUGUGGAGGAAGAGGGCCCCAAACCUGGCAGCCAGGAGCAGAGAGGAAGGGAGGCCCAGGACACAAACACCCCCCCAGGUCACACCCCAGUGCCCCCCACCAGGCCCUGUCUUCAGGAGUGAGCAUCGGGGAACAUAGUAGGUCUAAACUGUAACAGCAAGUUAUGUUUUUCACCCUCAUUUCCUCACUUUUAAGUUUCUGUUAACAGUUUAAAGUUGUAUUUUUCUUGUGAAAAACCUGUUUCGAAGUUAAAUAAUUGAUUACUUUCGAUAGGCUAAUACAAUCCCCCAAAGUUCAAGAGAAUAAAAGUGAAGAGUAAGUUUCCGGCCUUCCAGCUUCCUUUCCUAAAGGUAAGCACUGCUGCUGGUUCUCCCCAUCCUCCCAGAUGGACUCUAUUCGCGCAGGGACGCCUGCCUUUGUGUUUACGCUGUGCUUCUCUUGUUAUGCACGGAGAGCAGCUACACACACACACCAUUUCCGCCCUUUGCUCGAAGCAGCUCUCAGGGGCUGCACCCGGCGCCCCACCCACAGAGCGGGCUGCUGCAGUGUGAACCCCUGCCAGGAUUGAUGCCCCGGGCUCUGCAGCCUGGCGUGAGCGUACUCAUGGCUAGUGUCAGCGGAGCGGCUGCGUGCGGACAGAUGAUUUUAAAGUGCCAUCUGGAUUUUGUGUCACACUACCGCUUCUACACUAAGAUCGUGACUUCUCCCAUGCUCACCGAAGCACUUAGAACUUCCACACCUACCUGAUGCGGGGAGUAAGAGAAUUCAAUAGCUGAGCCCUAGAGGGAAGAGAGAACUUACAAUGAUCACGAAGGACACGGAGAAAGGCCCAGUCCGGCAGGGCUUCCACCUUGGGAGAGUCAGAGUGGGACGGCCUGGCCCUCAGGGCUCCUGGCAGGGGGUGAAUUCCCACCGCCCGGAGCUGGGCCAGAGUGAGGCCCUGUCCUGGGGAUGGACCAGAGGACAGUGCCGGCCUGGGGGACGCGCAGGCCCAGCAGACAGUCUUGUCCCACGGUGGGAUUUAGGACUCAGUUUCUGCAUUCCAAAGCCCUAAGUUCCGGUUCCCAUGCUCCUCAAGGGCCUUUCUGGGUGCUGGGGGCACUGCAACCCUCACGAGCCAGAGGUGGUCUUACAGUGACUGUGUGCAGCUGUAGGACAGCGUCGGAGAGACCGAGUUAGGAUCAGAGGCUCCAGCUUUCCAACUAUCCUUGUGGCUAUUUUAGAAGGGGGGCUGUUGUGACAGCCAUGUGGCAGGUCAGUUGUUACCGUGGGGGGUGUGUGUGUGAUCCAAGUGUGGCAUCUGUACAGAAAGCUGUGCCAGUCAUGAGCACACCCCCAGGUGGCCGCCCCGAUCCCUCCCUGCUACUAGGUGGCCCCACGCUCGACUUGGUUCACACGGCCUGUUGCUGUCCAUGCCGGCAGCAUCCAGGCUGCCUCGAGCUGUGGUGGCAGCGAUGUGGCCACGCACUCCCACCUGCGGGCCACAGCAUCCCCAACUCUGCUGUUGCCGUCAGCUUGGGCCCUUCGGCUUUUAUCUUGCAUGGUGUUCUGUGGAUAUUCCUGUACGUGGCUUCUGUGAGCCUGUUUUUGCAUUUCUAACAGGGCCAUGCCUAGGAGUGCACUAGUUGGUAAUGGGGCACACCCAUGUCCCCAUUUGGAGGCGACUGUCGAGAGCCCGCUGUGGUGUCCUUUCACUGACCUGAAAGGCAGCCACUGAAACAAGUAUUUGGCUGCUUACUCCUCAGUCAAACCAAGCAUUUUUACUGCAUAGGGCUCUUUACUUAAGUGGCCAUAAAAUGCAUACCAUGUCUGUGAGCAUCACGUUUCUUCUGGAGUGUGGUGUUUACACAUCCUGACAACUGAUACCUGUCAAGAAGAGGGUUCUACGCCACCGCUGUCUUGCAUAAUUAUGAGAAAGCUCAGCAUACCAUGUCUGUGAGCAUCACGUUUCUUCUGGAGUGUGGUGUUUACACAUCCUGACAACUGAUACCUGUCAAGAACAGGGUUCUACGCCACCGCUGUCUUGCAUAAUUAUGAGAAAGCUCACAGAAUAGCAUCCUGAUGGGCUUAUGAAGAAAAGCAGCCUAGUAUUUCGGUGAUUAAAGUUGCAUUUAGGGCUGGGGUGUGGCUCAGGGGUAGUGCACUUGCUGAGCAUGCACAAGGCCCUGGGUUUGAUCUGCAGCAUGGAAAAAAAUGCAUCUAAGUAACUGUGCUAAGUAACUGCACAGAUUUACCACUUGGAAGACUGCGCUGUUCCUCUCUACUGGUAGAAACUAGAUGAAGACUUGAAAACUGCCUCUAAAAUGAAAGAGUCAUUCCUCCCUUCAUUCAACCAAAGAUUUAGGAUUUCUUUGGCCUAUGUACUGUGCUUCUAGGCUGGGAAGGAGAAGGAAAAAUUAACAGAAGAACUCAGUUUUAGCACUCUUGGUUUUCAUAUCUGCAAAGGGUUGAGCCAAGUGCCCAGAGUGUUAUGAAACGCAGUUAAAGUGUCAAGAGAGGACUGAGUCAAGUACGCUGGUGAUCCCGGCGAGAGGAAUUUCUAGCUUGAAGAAUUUGCUGUGACGCCCUGGGCCUCAGGGCAGCUGGACAGAUGCAGCGGCCUGGGAGCUGACCUGGUCCUGGCACAGCUGGCGCUGUCGGGCACCCCCCUGCUGCCCUGGUGCACCGUAAGGUGUCAAGGGAGCCAGUGCUCACCCGGGCGGCUGAGGGACUCAGGGACGGGUGAGGCACAGCUGGGACACCGUGUCCUGCAGCUGGAGAGCGGCAUGGACCAGUCUCAGUUCCCUCAGGCCCUCCAGGGCUUUGCAGGUUUUCACCAACGGGCAGAGAGGGUAGCUGAUGUCCAGACACUUGCGUCCUGACACAGACACUUAAAACAGCGUUACAAGGUGGGAAGAAGAGAGAAAGAAGAGGUGCACACCUGUGCGAGUUACAUGUUAGGUCCAUUGUGGGUGGAAGGAAAGAGUGGUACCUCAGAGACACCCACUCGGGCCUCUGCUCUGUCCUUGGCACUAAUGUGAAUCUCUACAGGGCUAUGGUGUGUCGCCGGGGUGUGUGUGUACCUGUGUGUGUGUGUGUGUACGUGUGCGUGUUUCUCCUAAGAAAACUCUAGACGUUGCAGUAGAAAUCCCUGUACCAUCCCUCCCAAGUGCUGGAGCACAAGCUUGUCAUGCUUGGACCCCAAGGCCCGAGGCCAUUUGAGCGGAAAACCCGAGGAUGGAUGCAGACAGGGCUCAGGCUGGAUGCCCACUUUCAGGGCCUUGGCAGGUUGGUGCCUGGCACGGGCGGCUGGCACGAGGCGUUGGGGACAGAUGAUUCGUGCCUGGAGUGCAAAGUUUCAGAGCUAAGUGUUGAUCCAUGACGACUUAGGAAAACCACUGGGCUCCGCUGUUCUGGAAAACAAACACAGGCAGCCCUUGUGCUCCAAGGCGAGAG
Molecule: non-coding RNA, 4429 nt
Organism: Heterocephalus glaber (naked mole-rat)
Lineage: Eukaryota; Metazoa; Chordata; Mammalia; Rodentia; Bathyergidae
Source: RefSeq, a predicted model, not a curated record